Molecule: ribosomal RNA, 482 nt
Filed under: uncultured bacterium
Lineage: Bacteria
Description: partial 16S ribosomal RNA
Rfam family: Bacterial small subunit ribosomal RNA
Source: RNAcentral
GACGAACGCUGGCGGCGUGCUUGACACAUGCAAGUCGAACGGAAAGGCCCAGCUUGCUGGGUACUCGAGUGGCGAACGGGUGAGUAACACGUGGGUGAUCUGCCCUGCACUCUGGGAUAAGCCUGGGAAACUGGGUCUAAUACCGGAUAUGAUCAACUGUCGCAUGGUGGUUGGUGGAAAGCUUUUGCGGUGUGGGAUGGGCCCGCGGCCUAUCAGCUUGUUGGUGGGGUAAUGGCCUACCAAGGCGACGACGGGUAGCCGACCUGAGAGGGUGAUCGGCCACACUGGGGCUGAGACACGGCCCAGACUCCUACGGGAGGCAGCAGUGGGGAAUAUUGCACAAUGGGCGCAAGCCUGAUGCAGCGACGCCGCGUGAGGGAUGACGGCCUUCGGGUUGUAAACCUCUUUCACCAGGGACGAAGCGUGAGUGACGGUACCUGGAGAAGAAGCACCGGCCAACUACGUGCCAGCCGCCGCAGUAA